UCGGAGUCCCUUUCACUGGGGGGACAGGACACAAACCGGGGGACUUUCAGUGUCCCUUCUGUCCACAUCCAGAGCACACAGGAGCUGUUUCCUUGCUUUCAGGGCCACUGCGAUCUGCAGAGAGCUGCCCUUCUCCUCUACACUCUACAGAGAGGGUUACCGAGCCCGGGAGCUGUCCAGGUCUGAGGAUGUCCAGAGAUGAACUAUAGGAAGACUGGUACUGGGGAGUUGGAAUGGAAGUGGGAUACUCUCUUGUCCCAUGUUUUCCCAAGAUGUCCAGAGGCUGCCAGUGAAGAGCCAGGCUGACCAGAGGCGGCCAGUGGGAAGACCGAUAUGGCUGGGAGUUGGGAUGGAGGCGAGUCUCUCCUUCACUGGCUGUCCCUCCCAGGCGACGCUGGUCUUACAUGAUCGGGGCUGAUCGGACCAGUCUGGGAUCCACAGACUCCGAGGGGACAGAGUAGGAGUUGUCUUGGGGAGACAUCCAGGGUGUCCUGAUCUCUGCCUGCUGGAACCUGUGAGGAUGACGAUGAUGAAGAGCUGCAGGUGACCCUGAUUCAGGCUGCUCCCUGGAGAUGAGCUCCAGGCGGAGAGCCAGUGGACUCCUCCUAUCGGGGCUCCAGGGGGUGACCCUCAGGGCUGUGUCCUGACCUCCUGCUGUCUCUCGCCCCCAAGAACCUGGUCAGUGUGCUGUUGACACUCUCGUACCCGAGUCCAACACCAGCCUCCAGCCUGAGCCCAAGGUCAGGUUAUUCCUGUCACUCCUGUGUCACACUCAGGGCAUGAACACACAACCCUACUAGUGAGAGAGGAGAACUUAUAAAGUUACUAGCAUUGAUUAUUAGAGCCUGGUGAAGUAUUAUUGUUGAAUUAACACAAUCUUGAGUGACAGGUGAAUGCUGGGCUGAACACCGAUGACGAGGCACAGAGAGACUGCAGAGCCAGACUGCUGCCCUCGGACACACGGACCAGCUGUCACAGCUGUGCAGCCUACAGCAGCGUGUCCUGGGAUGGAGGUGGGAUGCUCUCUCCUGUCUCUUUCCCCUUUUCCAAUAAGUCCGGCGGCUGACACUGGGAAGACAUGUACGUAUGAAGAUUGAACCCUCUCCUGUUUCCUUUUCCCUAAUUUUCCAGGAUGUCCAGGGGCAGACAGUGGAGAGACAAGUAUGGCUGGGAUAGAGGUUGGAUGUUCUCUCCUAUAAUCUUUUCCCUGAUUUUUUUUUUUUAGGAUGUCCAUAAAAUUGACAGUGGGAAGACGGGUUUGGAGGAGUAGUUGGAAUUGAGGUUAACUCUCUCUCCUGUCUCUUUUCCCUAAUUUUCCAGGAUGUCCAGAGACUGCCAGUGGGAACACCAGUGUGGAUGAGGUGUUGGGAUGGAGGUUGAUGCUCUGUCCUGUGUUCAUUUCUGUAGUUUUCCCAAAAUGUCCAGUGGGAAGACGACGGACUGUCCAGUGGCAGACAGUGGGAAGAUGGGUAAGGAUGAGGAGUUGGAAUGGAGGUUGGAUGCUCACUCCUCGCUUUUCCCUAAUUUUCCAGAGGCUUC
Molecule: non-coding RNA, 1539 nt
Organism: Lepisosteus oculatus (spotted gar)
Lineage: Eukaryota; Metazoa; Chordata; Actinopteri; Semionotiformes; Lepisosteidae
Source: RefSeq, a predicted model, not a curated record